Long non-coding RNA from Papaver somniferum (opium poppy), 554 nucleotides. RefSeq lists it as uncharacterized. The record is from RefSeq and is a predicted model, not a curated record. The transcript is spliced from 2 exons. Lineage: Eukaryota; Viridiplantae; Streptophyta; Magnoliopsida; Ranunculales; Papaveraceae.
AGAGAAAUCGAGCUCCAAUUUUGAUUUUUGAGAUGCUAUACGAAGAAAACGAUCUCCAAUCUUUCGAUCCAAUCGGCGUAUGAUUUACUAUCAGACUCUUCUCUUGCAUUGUUCGAAUCGAUGUUAAAAAUUAUCAUAUUAUGAUUCAUUGCAGACAUGAAAUGGUAUGCAAACAUGAUUUAACAGUCAACUUGUUUUCUUUGCAUAAAAACAACAUUUGACUGGUUGUGGGUUUGGUUAUUUGAGGAAAAUGCAAAGUUGGUGCCUGUAUAAGUCAGUGCCUUAACGAUGUCGUCUGGCGUUAAGAAGAAAAUGUGCAAUAGAAUGUUCUUGUAUAAUUCAGAGUUAGUGUUUCUCAUCAUCAAAAUUUGGUUUACCCAGAAGAGAAUGUGCAAUAGAAGCGGAAGCAGGUCACUUAGAUUUAGCAAUGUAAUAUAGACAACCACAGUAAAAUGUGUAUGUUACCGCCACAUUUAUAAGGGGCCAAUGUCUGCCACAUUUGUAUACAUUCAUACAAAUUUAACCACAGUAAAAUGUGCAUAAUAUUUUUGCGA